GAUGAACGCUGGCGGCGUGCUUAACACAUGCAAGUCGAACGGAAAGGCUCCUGCUUGCAGGGGUACUCGAGUGGCGAACGGGUGAGUAACACGUGGGUGAUCUGCCCUGCACUUCGGGAUAAGCCUGGGAAACUGGGUCUAAUACCGGAUAGGACCACAUUUUGGAUGGUGUGGUGGAAAGUUUUUCGGUGUGGGAUGAGCUCGCGGCCUAUCAGCUUGUUGGUGGGGUAAUGGCCUACCAAGGCGUCGACGGGUAGCCGGCCUGAGAGGGUGUACGGCCACAUUGGGACUGAGAUACGGCCCAGACUCCUACGGGAGGCAGCAGUGGGGAAGAUUGCACAAUGGGCGCAAGCCUGGUGCAGCGACGCCGCGGGGGGGAUGACGGCCUUCGGGUUGUAAACUCCUUUCGCUAGGGACAAAGCGUUUUUGUGACGGUACCUGGAGAAGAAGCACCGGCUAACUACGUG
This 467-nucleotide ribosomal RNA is filed under the name uncultured bacterium. Its description in RNAcentral is "partial 16S ribosomal RNA". It matches the Rfam family "Bacterial small subunit ribosomal RNA", at positions 28 to 507 of the family's 1533-position model. The record is from RNAcentral.